RNAcentral lists this ribosomal RNA (460 nucleotides) under uncultured bacterium. RNAcentral's name for it is "partial 16S ribosomal RNA". It matches the Rfam family "Bacterial small subunit ribosomal RNA", at positions 338 to 795 of the family's 1533-position model. The record is from RNAcentral.
CCUACGGGAGGUAGCAGUGAGGAAUAUUGGUCAAUGGACGAGAGUCUGAACCAGCCAAGUAGCGUGAAGGAUGACUGCCCUAUGGGUUGUAAACUUCUUUUAUAUGGGAAUAAAAUGUUCCACGUGUGGGAUUUUGUAUGUACCAUAUGAAUAAGGAUCGGCUAACUCCGUGCCAGCAGCCGCGGUAAUACGGAGGAUCCGAGCGUUAUCCGGAUUUAUUGGGUUUAAAGGGAGCGUAGGUGGAUUGUUAAGUCAGUUGUGAAAGUUUGCGGCUCAACCGUAAAAUUGCAGUUGAAACUGGCAGUCUUGAGUACAGUAGAGGUGGGCGGAAUUCGUGGUGUAGCGGUGAAAUGCUGAGAUAUCACGAAGAACUCCGAUUGCGAAGGCAGUUCACUGGACUGCAACUGACACUGAGGCUCGAAAGUGUGGGUAUCAAACAGGAUUAGAUACCCGUGUAGUC